RNAcentral lists this microRNA (19 nucleotides) under Tribolium castaneum (red flour beetle). Its description in RNAcentral is "tca-miR-3842-5p". Lineage: Eukaryota; Metazoa; Arthropoda; Insecta; Coleoptera; Tenebrionidae. The record is from miRBase by way of RNAcentral.
AGGAGGAAAAACGAGUCGG